RNAcentral lists this ribosomal RNA (506 nucleotides) under uncultured bacterium. Its description in RNAcentral is "partial 16S ribosomal RNA". It matches the Rfam family "Bacterial small subunit ribosomal RNA", at positions 29 to 523 of the family's 1533-position model. The record is from RNAcentral.
AACGAACGCUGGCGGCAGGCCUAACACAUGCAAGUCGAGCGGCAGCGGAAAGUAGCUUGCUACUUUGCCGGCGAGCGGCGGACGGGUGAGUAAUGUCUGGGAAACUGCCUGAUGGAGGGGGAUAACUACUGGAAACGGUAGCUAAUACCGCAUAACGUCGCAAGACCAAAGAGGGGGACCUUCGGGCCUCUUGCCAUCAGAUGUGCCCAGAUGGGAUUAGCUAGUAGGUGGGGUAACGGCUCACCUAGGCGACGAUCCCUAGCUGGUCUGAGAGGAUGACCAGCCACACUGGAACUGAGACACGGUCCAGACUCCUACGGGAGGCAGCAGUGGGGAAUAUUGCACAAUGGGCGCAAGCCUGAUGCAGCCAUGCCGCGUGUAUGAAGAAGGCCUUCGGGUUGUAAAGUACUUUCAGCGGGGAGGAAGGUGCUGAGGUUAAUAACCUCAGCAAUUGACGUUACCCGCAGAAGAAGCACCGGCUAACUCCGUGCCAGCCGCCGCCGUAA